Molecule: ribosomal RNA, 459 nt
Filed under: uncultured bacterium
Lineage: Bacteria
Description: partial 16S ribosomal RNA
Rfam family: Bacterial small subunit ribosomal RNA
Source: RNAcentral
CCUACGGGUGGCAGCAGUGAGGAAUAUUGGUCAAUGGGCGGGAGCCUGAACCAGCCAAGCCGCGUGAGGGAAGAAGGUACAGCGUAUCGUAAACCUCUUUUGUCAGGGAACAAAGGCGGGGACUAGUCCCCGGAUGAGGGUACAUGAAGAAAAAGCAUCGGCUAACUCCGCGCCAGCAGCCGCGGUAAUACGGAGGAUGCGAGCGUUAUCCGGAUUUAUGGGGUUAAAAGGGUGCGCAGGCGGCGUGUAAAGUACGCGGUAAAAGCCCGGGGCUAAACCGGGGCGUGCCGUGGAAACUGGCGGGUUGGAGUUGGAGAGAAGUACGCGGAAUGCGCGGUGUAGCGGUGAAAUGCUUAGAUAUCGCGCAGAACCCCGAUUGCGAAGGCAGCGUACCGGCUCCACACUGACGCUGAGGCACGAAAGCGUGGGUAUCGAACAGGAUUAGAUACCCUGGUAGUC